AUUUAGAUAAUUUAAUAAAAAAUAUUGAUUUGUGGGAUCAGAGAUAUGGGUAACCAUUUUAAGUA
RNAcentral lists this transfer RNA (65 nucleotides) under Aporia hastata. RNAcentral describes it as "tRNA-His". The record is from RNAcentral. Lineage: Eukaryota; Metazoa; Arthropoda; Insecta; Lepidoptera; Pieridae.